RNAcentral lists this ribosomal RNA (253 nucleotides) under uncultured bacterium. RNAcentral describes it as "partial 16S ribosomal RNA". It matches the Rfam family "Bacterial small subunit ribosomal RNA", at positions 524 to 776 of the family's 1533-position model. The record is from RNAcentral.
UACGAAGGGUGCAAGCGUUACUCGGAAUUACUGGGCGUAAAGCGUGCGUAGACGGUUAUCUAAGUCGGAUGUGAAAGCCCCGGGCUCAACCUGGGAAUUGCAUUCGAGACUGAAUAGCUAGGGUACGGUAGAGGGAAGUGGAAUUUCCGGUGUAGCGGUGAAAUGCGUAGAUAUCGGAAGGAACAUCAGUGGCGAAGGCGGGUCUCUGGACAGUUCCUGACGCUGAGGCACGAAGGCCAGGGGAGCAAACGGG